AUUCCUAGCAAAUUAUCCUUCCAAAAACCAUGGCUUGCUAGAGGCUAAUACGAGGAAACCCAAGUAGCCGACCAGAAGUGAUAAAUGGACAAGACAUUCCGAAGCGCAAAAAGCACCCACAUAGAUCAAUCCCAUGAGUCUUGAUAUAUACGUAUAGUUGUGAAGUUGAACAAAAUCAAGAGGUUUUGAAUUCAAAAUGUACUAGUGAAUGAAG
RNAcentral lists this unclassified non-coding RNA (214 nucleotides) under Hevea brasiliensis (rubber tree). Lineage: Eukaryota; Viridiplantae; Streptophyta; Magnoliopsida; Malpighiales; Euphorbiaceae. The record is from RNAcentral.